AGCUCUGGGGUGUAACAUGUAAGAUUGCAAAUCUUGAGAUGCAGAUUAACGUCUGCCGGGGCUU
RNAcentral lists this transfer RNA (64 nucleotides) under Trypauchenopsis sp. G341. RNAcentral describes it as "tRNA-Cys". The record is from RNAcentral. Lineage: Eukaryota; Metazoa; Chordata; Actinopteri; Gobiiformes; Gobiidae.